Molecule: long non-coding RNA, 7590 nt
Organism: Mirounga angustirostris (Northern elephant seal)
Lineage: Eukaryota; Metazoa; Chordata; Mammalia; Carnivora; Phocidae
Exons: 2
Source: RefSeq, a predicted model, not a curated record
UUUUUAAAGAUUUUAUUUAUUUAUUUGAGAGAGAGAGAGCACAUGAGAGGGGGGAGGGUCAGGAGGGCCAGAGGGAGAAGCAGACUCCCUGCUGAGCAGGGAGCCCGAUGCGGGACUCGAUCCCGGGACUCCAGGAUCAUGACCUGAGCCGAAGGCAGUCGCUUAACCAACUGAACCACCCAGGCGCCCCAUUUUAUAUUUUAAAAUAUCUUCCUAUUAUUUUAGUAUUUUCAUAACAAAAAAAACAGACAGUAAUUUGAGUUGUUUGCUUAUUUUUAGAUGAUCGCACGUAAGUGCUUUGAAUCAUCUCUAAAAGCUUAUUUCCACAGCACAUAACAAAAUUAAUUAAAUUGCCUUUUGAAGCAGGGCUGCUUUGUUUCCCACUGAAACGAUGACUCAUGAGGUCUGAGUGAGUCUCAUUUAUAUUCCUCCUUCAGCAAGUAAUUUAAAUGUGAGUUAUAUAGAAAGGAAAAGGAAGAAAGAACAAGGAGAACACAAACAGAACUAUCCCUUGCUUACCUCUUUGACGAGUUAUCAGUUAUCCUGGAUGUGGCGUUACAUAGGUGGAACCUGCCGUAUUUUGUUGGUACCAGAAAUUCCUAUUGACAGCAGCAUUGAUAACUGACAGCUACGUGUCUUGGGUUGUGUAAGUGGGUCAGGGAAGGUAGAGUUUGGCACAAUACAAGGGAACACUUUCUGAUCCGCUGACAUGCCCAGCACUGGUACCUUCUGGGUUGGGUGGCAGUGAGCUUCUUGAUGCAUGGGUAUGAGAAGAGAAGGCUGCUUGGUUGGAGGCGUGGGGGUAGAGGAGUUUUUAUUUAACAGCCAAUCUGAACCAUGGGAGACUGGGACAAGGUAGGUUUGAGUAUGUUGUGGCAUCGAUGAUGGAGCAUAUCCUGAAGUAAAUGCUUACUUUGACAGUCACUUUUAUUUUAUAAUUAGGAACUUUUCAGCAGUUGGAAACAUAGCACUUAGCACAUGACAGGCAUGUGAUGAACGUUUACUGAAUGCUCACCUACAGGGAUUGGGAAGAGGAGGAAUGGCUGAAUGAAUGAAGUAAAUGCUUAUUUUGACAGUCACUUUUUUUUUUUAAAGAUUUUUUAUUUAUUUAUCUGAGAGAGAGAAUGGGAGACAGAGAGCAUGAGAGGGGGAGGAUCAGAGGGAGAAGCAGACUCCCCGCUGAGCAGGGAGUCCGAUGCGGGACCUGAUCCUGGGACUCCAGGAUCAUGACCUGAGCCGAAGGCAGUCGCCCAACCAACUGAGCCACCCAGGCGCCCCUUGACAGUCACUUUUAUUUUAUAAUUAGGAACUUUUCAGCAGUUGGAAACAUAGCACUUAGCACAUGACAGGCAUGUGAUGAACGUUUACUGAAUGCUCAUCUACAGGGAUUGGGAAAAGGAGGAAUGGCUGAAUGAAUGGGCUCGUGCAUGACCAAGUAUGGAGGAAGGAACUGCAAUAGGAAGGAUUUGAGAUGCCUUUAUGUGGACUUCGAAGACUGGUUUUGAACUAAAGGGAACUUGGAGCCUGCAUUCUGUGUGAACACUGUGGCUUAGCCACAAACCUGUGUUCUUUGAGUUACGGCCAAGUGAGCAUUUCAUCUGGUGGUUCUUCUGGUGGCAGUGGGCAUUGGGAGAUUGUCCAAACAGGCUUUUUGGUUUUUUUUGUUUGAUUUUCCAGAAAGCCAGCAAAGUAGGUCCAUUGAAAUAUAUUGCUGUUCCCCUCCUAGCUAUCCCACCACCCUCAAGGGCCCCCACCAACACACAGAUUGGACUUUAAUGCCAACAGCUGAAAUGCAGCCAGUUCAUAUUCUUGCUUUUUGUUGAGACAUACUUUGUUCCUUACUCCAGUGAUUUUGCUAGCAAUUUUGCUGAUAGAAAGGGAAGGAGGACCCACAGAGAAUGUGGGCAGAUGGCUUAUAGAGGUGGCACAGUUUGCUCAAUUUGUUUUAUAAAACAAUAGGCAAUUAUAAACUCCUACUCAGAGAUGUAUUUCUCCUUGAUUUUCAGAAAUACAGGGGUGAAUAUUGCCCAGGGACUGAAGCUAGAUGAAGGUGAUUUGGGUCCAUUUUAAUGUUUUCCAUUCUCAAGAGAUGUGUCUCAUGGGAAAGCAAUAACAUUAGGGAAAGUAUAUUGUGAGUUUUGAGGGACGCUUUUGGCUAAUUCCCAUAAUCACUCUGUGCCUUUAUGUCCUCAUAAGUAAGUGGAGACAACACCCGCCCGUUGUAUGGCUUUGGGCAAAGGCCAGCCAGAUGAGACCUGUUGUUUUGUGCACUGCACAGUUGAAUUCAAGGUGCCCUUAUUUAGAUUAUUACUCCUAUUUGCUGAUUAAUGGUGCUUAUUUUAAAACUGAUUCUGGAAGAAGCAUCCAAACAAAAUAACAGUCCGCUCCCAUUGUUAGCAUGGUCUGCUUUGUGAAAUCACAGAUUCUACUCAAAGGCUACAUUCCACAGAAAAUAACUGCAAUUUAAACAUAUGAGCCUCUAAUGGAACCACCUUCCAGUCUGCACCUAUUUCAUCCCUCUUCCCGCCACAACACAAUGACCUCCUGAGCUGUUUGCUAACAACAUUUAUUAACCGCAGGCCUGGAGACAGACAAAACCAAGUCAGAAUGCUUUACUAGGCCCAACACUCAGAUGAUGAGCAGAAACCUUUCUCUAUAUAAUUUCCAUUGGUCAAUGCUCAAGCAGACUCUAAAAGAAACCCACCAUUUUCUAUACCUACAGAAAACAUUUCUUCCCAAGAGAGUGUUCAGAUCUUUCCUCCUCCAUCUGUGUCUUCUGGCUAACACCUCCCUGUUUGCCUUGCACAUAUUUUCUUCUACACAGCUGCUGAGUCCAGUGCAUUGGUCUUCACCUAGGGAACUCGAGUGGUGCACCUCACUGCCACCAAAGGCCAAGUCAGGGUAUAUAACUGCUACCAAAUAUUGGGGAUUAGCUAUAGAAGUUCCAGAAAGACCUUCUUAUCAUUCAAAGUCCAACAUUCUUUCUUACCAACGUACCUACAAAUGGUAAAUAAAAAAAUGAUUCAUAAUAUAGUAACUAUCCCCUCAUUAUUCCUUAAUCUUUUAUUAAUCUCCCUUAUUAUGAAUUAGGGGAAUAUGCUAAAAAAGAAGAUAUCGCUCUUUCUGUCUCUAUAACAAACAACAGUAAUUAUCUGGUGGAAUGCAUCCCCCUUCUCUGCAGGGAAUUACCAUUUGCUUCAGGACUGAACAAAAUGAGAAAGUAUGACAUCACUGAAUCCACUUUUAAAAUUAAUAUGAAGCGCUUGUCAUGAAAAUGUAGAUCUUCCCAACGGGGAAAAAAUAUGACUAGUAUCAACUGAAUCAGAAAUAUGAAAGUGUCAGGCUGUCAUUUACCUGAGCAAUUUGUCUUGGUCCUGUACAAGGGAGCCUUGGAGGCAAUUGGCAGUUGCGAAAAGAAACACAAAGACAAACAAGACCCCAAAAUCAAAACUUUAAAAACCAAAGAGUUGCCACCCAAAUUUUUAGUAGCUAUCCAUAUUUUCACUGACUUCUUAUCUGAGUAUGGAACCAACAAAGCUGCAGAAGAGAUCAUAGAAUCUUAGAACUCAAUGAGUCCAGAAGUUUCUUAACAUUCUUUUUCUUUUUAAAAAACAACAUCUUUUCCUACUAAAAUUUAACAUGGAAGGCCAUCAUGGGAAAUUUUCGUGAGCACAGCUGUCCUGGUUGAAGUGCAUGCACAUGGACUGGGGGACUGAGGGAUGUUCUCUCACAUCCACUGUACCCAUGUGCGGCCCCUAAGCACCUUUCCAGGAAGCUCAUGGCCUUGAGGAGUUUGGAAACAAGACCAGUCCAUCCUACACUCCUCUGGUGAUAAAGGGCGCAGAGUCUCAGAGCUGGACCUGAGGCAGGCCUGAGGUCACCUAGGCAAACCAGAGCCAUUGGAGAGCUGAGUCCUCCAAGCCAGGCCUGUGCACCCCAUGUGGGGAGCCUGAACUGAGCUGUGGAAAUCUCCUCACACCUACCUUUAUUCUUGGCCCCUUUACCUGAGGAAAAUUUGCCUGGCUACCAAAGAGUAUUGCUAUCAUUAGCCAGCUCCACAUUUCAGUUGUUAAGAAACUUCCUUGCUCUGUUGUUAAUGUGGAUCCAGUCAGAACUGAGUUUUAGGCAUGAAAAGUCUGUGGUCCUUUUGUCCUUGAUUAAUUUAGUGACAUUCUAGAAAGGAAGCUGAGAAGCUUGAAACAUCCUUGCUCAUUAAUAAUAUACUUUUCCUUUUGGUAAUAUAAACAUAAUUCAAGACCCGAUUAAAAUGUCCCAAUUUUUUGUCAGUAAGGAAAGAACCUUUAUAACUCAACUUUGCCAUAUGUUCUUGUCCCAAGUGCUUGUCAUCUCGAUUAAAUUGCUCAUAACUGUAUGCAAUGUAGAAGCUUUGGCAGAGUUGGGCAGCCAUAGUUCAGAGCCUGAUCUGAUCUGUUUGCAUGAGUGGUGGUAAAGGAGUUGACUUGGAUACUGGAUCAUGUGCUAUUUGUAGUGCAUUUCUGAGAUAUUAUUAGUCAAAUUCAGUUGAUCUCUGCUUCAACUCACGUGGGUGGCCUGCCAUCAUUUAAUUGAUGAAACCUGGGACAGAGCUGAAGGCUAUCAAACUGAUGCUCAGGUUAAAUUUGUGGGUCAGUCUACUGUCUUGAAACCGAACAGCAGGAUUAAUAACAUCCCUCCAGUUCAGUUCUCUUGCUAAGAGCCACUAAAUAGAUAAUGUGCGAUGGCCUCGCCUCAAGUCUGGAGCCAUUCCAGAGGAAAGUGCCAGAGUCUGGACCAGAAGCACAGUGGACUCACCCCACACCAUCCGUGGAGCCUCGCAGAGUCCUAAUGGGUCCCAACCCGUACAUACCAGUUAAUUGGCUAUAGGUGAGCAGUGUUCACUUUCAUUCAGCAAAUCACACUGAGUGCAUGUGAUUUGCCAGGCCCUGUAUGUGGCAACGGGGAUGUGGAGACACGUAAGACAUGAUGUCCCCUGAACGUAGUGGAGGGGUGAGAGGACAGAGGCAUAGACAGGCAGGCCAAUACUAUUUAGAAAGUGAAUCAAAGGAGGCUUGGACAGGGUGCUUUGAGUGCGUGAAAAGGAAGCAACUAACUCAGGCUGGACGGUGAGAACAGCACCCUCAGGGACUAGGGGAAGCUUCUGGGAGGAGGGGAUGCUCAAGCUGUCUUUUAUAAAAAUGAAAACAUAUCAUUUUUUCCCCUAUGAUCAGAGGAUAUGUAUUUGUUGUAGGAAACAAUUACUACUUCCAAAAAACAACAAUAAAAAUCACUGUAACACCACUACCAGAGGUAAGCACUGCUUACAUUUGAAGCAUGUCCUUUCAGUCUCUCUAUCAUCUAGGUCUAUACACAAAUGCUUUAAAAAUGUUCUCAGAUAGUGAGCAGCUGAUUUGUUACUUCGUUUUUUUUAAAAAAAGCCUAACAAUACACAAUGAAUAUUUUUUCAUGUCACUAAAUAUUCUUCGCCAUAAUAUUGCAUUGCAUGAGGUCCCUAAUUUACUUAAUUCUUUAUUAUGGGAAUUUAGUUGUUGCAAAAUUUUCACUAUUAUUAACUAUGACGAAAUCCUUACACUUAAAUUUUUUACACAUCUAUAAUUAUUUCCUUAGGACAGAUCCCUAGAAUGAAAAUCACUGGGUCAGAGGUUAUACACAUUUGAGGCUAAAUACCAGCCAGCGUCCAAGACAGCCCCAGUGAUCCUUGCUGCCUGAUACUCAUUCACACCUUUGUGUGGCCCCCUCUCAUAAGAAAUAGGGCUAUCCUGUAAGGCCAAUAGGAUAUUGCAGAAGUGACAGUUUUGAAAUGGAUUUAAAAGUACUUGGACUCACUGUCAGGCCUCGGACACCAGGAAUGGAUGAGGGCCGGAAGGAGGACAGACAACAAGAGGAGGAGAAAUGUGGCCAGGAGUACCACUCACUCACCAUCAGAGGAAGCCCUCGGGGAGGGGCUCUUGCUCUGUGGGUUAAUCCUUGGGAGAGGAUACUCCUUAUGCUAUCUUCCCCAUGGCUUCUGCCUUAGGCUUCUGGCUCUUCCUGAGAACUGGGUUGUGGCCUUAACUGAGCCACUGACCUGUGAAUUUGGACCAGUCCCUUACGGGACUGCAUGGUCUCUUGGGGCCCCUGUAGCCCUGUCAAUGUACUGGUCUAAGCCUCCAAGUCUCUUACCAGCAGUAGGUCCCACAAUGUAGGAGCGGUGCUUUCCCUGGGCCAGAUUACAUGUUUGACAGGUGCUACAGGUUGAAUUGUGUCUGCCUCUGUCCCCUCCCCCACCAAAAAAAUGAUAUGUUGAAAUCCAAACCUCAGAAUGUGACUUUAUUUGGAGAUAGUGUUUUUAUAGAGGUAAUCAAGUUAAAAUGAAAUCAUUAGUGUGGGCCCUAAUCUAAUAAAAGGGGAAAAUUGGACACAGACACAGACAUGCAUACAGGGAGAGCAGCACCAUGUGAAGACACGGAGAGAAGAUGGCCGUCUGCAAGCCAUGGAGAGAAGCCUGGAAUAUAUCCUUCCCUCACAGCCCUCAGAAGGAACCAACCCUGCUGACAUCUGGAUCUGGGGCUUUUAGCCUCCAGACUGAGACCAAAAAAAAAAAAAAAUCUGCUAUUGAAACCAUCUAGUUUGUUGGUACUUUUUAAUUUUUAUAACAGCUCUAGAAAAUUAAUACAGCGGGUAAAGCAGAUUUUCCCCAGAUUUCCUUCACUGGCAGCUGACAGUGUGACAUAUGGCCAUUCCUAGUUACUUAGGUCCCCCCGAGAAUUCCUUUCACCUCACUUCCCAGAGCAGGCGUCAGAGGCUCCAGGGAGAGAGCCACUGUCUCAGUGGUCACUCCUGUCUCUUCCUAACAGGCAGGUUCUAGAAGUGGAAGGAGAGAGAAGGCUGGUGAUGAAGGGUUUCUUUAUCAGAAGGCUUUAAGUACCUUUCCUGGAACAGGGACUGCAUCAAGUGUCCUUGCCUCAAGGACUCAUCACCAGAGCCUACCUGGGAGAGGGAAACUUUUCUGAUUUACAUAGCCCCUCUUAAUGCAUUCUUGUCACUUAAAAGGAAAGUAAACUUCAGUGCUGAGGUACUAGGCUUAGUCAUAUGGCCUCUCAGCGCUCUCUAAUCAGUAUCACUUUGCCAUCGCUAAGGUUUCUGUAAGUCCAUCAACAGCCUCUCACCUCCUCUCAGUUCAUUAUCUCAUAUAGUUAGAGGACCUAUUAUGGGAAAUACGUACUGUCAUCAGCAGCUUAGACAUAAAUUUAUGCUGCGUAUGUAGUUGGUCAAAGUGCCUCUACUCAGCUCAUCACGAUUUUUCCACUAGGACCAAGGAAAUUGCUGUCUGAUUAUUCUCUCCAGCCCCAUCAGUUAAGGAGUCUUGUCUAAUCCAGUGUCUAAAGACUUGACCAAAAUAGGUUUUUGUCUAAAAAGAUUGAUCCUGAAAAAUGAGAUAAAGGGCUGUUCAAAGUGGUUUAGGGGAACAAACUUCAUUUCAUCAAAGUACACUGUCUUCCUCAACAAAUCCUUUUUGGUUUAAUUUCUCUGAAUUUGUGCAAAACGUAUAGCAGCUGUGGUAGCAAAGAUGUUGUACUGGAAAUUAAAUCAAAUGCGUUGAUUUUCUACUGA